RNAcentral lists this ribosomal RNA (1336 nucleotides) under uncultured bacterium. Its description in RNAcentral is "bacterial SSU rRNA". It matches the Rfam family "Bacterial small subunit ribosomal RNA", at positions 28 to 1394 of the family's 1533-position model. The record is from RNAcentral.
AAUCAACGCUGGCGGCGUGCCUAACACAUGCAAGUCGAACGAGAAAGUGGAGCAAUCCAUGAGUAAAGUGGCGCACGGGUGAGUAACACGUGACUAACCUACCCUUGAGUGGGGGAUAACCUCGGGAAACCUUGGCUAAUACCGCAUAACACCUACGGGUCAAAGGAGCAAUUCGCUUAAGGAGGGGGUCGCGGCAGAUUAGUUAGUUGGCAGGGUAAUGGCCUACCAAGACGGUGAUCUGUAUCCGGCCUGAGAGGGCGCACGGACACACUGGAACUGAAACACGGUCCAGACUCCUACGGGAGGCAGCAGUGGGGAAUUUUGCGCAAUGGGGGAAACCCUGACGCAGCAACGCCGCGUGGAGGAUGAAGUCCCUUGGGACGUAAACUCCUUUCGACCGGGACGAUAAUGACGGUACCGGAAGAAGAAGCCCCGGCUAACUUCGUGCCAGCAGCCGCGGUAAUACGAGGGGGGCGAGCGUUGUUCGGAAUUAUUGGGCGUAAAGGGUGCGUAGGCGGUUCGGUAAGUUUCGUGUGAAAUCUUCGGGCUCAACUCGAAGUCUGCACGAGAUACUGCCGGGCUUGAGUGUGGGAGAGGUGAGUGGAAUUUCCGGUGUAGCGGUGAAAUGCGUAGAUAUCGGAAGGAAACACCUGUGGGCGAAAGCGGCUCACUGGACCAUAACUGACGCUGAGGCACGAAAGCUAGGGGAGCAAACAGGAUUAGAUACCCUGGUAGUCCUAGCCCUAAACGAUGAUCGCUUGGUGUGACGGGUACCCAAUCCCGCCGUGCCGUAGCUAACGCGUUAAGCGAUCCGCCUGGGGAGUACGGUCGCAAGGCUGAAACUCAAGGGAAUUGACGGGGGCCCGCACAAGCGGUGGAGCAUGUGGUUUAAUUCGACGCAACGCGAAGAACCUUACCUGGGCUCGAAAUGUAGAGGAAUCCGGUGGAAACAUCGGCGCCUAGCAAUAGGCCUCUAUAUAGGUGCUGCAUGGCUGUCGUCAGCUCGUGUCGUGAGAUGUUGGGUUAAGUCCCGCAACGAGCGCAACCCUUAUUACCAGUUGCCAUCAUUUAGUUGGGCACUCUGGUGAGACUGCCUCGGACAACGGGGAGGAAGGCGGGGAUGACGUCAAGUCCUCAUGGCCUUUAUGUCCAGGGCUACACACGUGCUACAAUGGCCGGUACAAACCGUCGCAAACCCGCGAGGGGGAGCUAAUCGGAAAAAGCCGGCCUCAGUUCGGAUUACAGUCUGCAACUCGACUGUAUGAAGCUGGAAUCGCUAGUAAUCGCGGAUCAGAACGCCGCGGUGAAUACGUUCCCGGGCCUUGUACUCACCGCC